This 867-nucleotide ribosomal RNA is filed under the name marine metagenome. RNAcentral's name for it is "bacterial SSU rRNA". It matches the Rfam family "Bacterial small subunit ribosomal RNA", at positions 8 to 925 of the family's 1533-position model. The record is from RNAcentral.
AGAGUUUGAUCAUGGCUCAGAACGUACGCUGGCGGCACGCCUAACACAUGCAAGUCGAACGAAGUAGCAAUACUUAGUGGCAGACGGGUGAGUAACAUGUAGGUAUCUACCCUAUGGCCUGGAAUAACACGAGGAAACUUGUGCUAAUACCGGAUAAGUCUUUACGGAGAAAGCUUUAUGCACCAUUGGAUGAGCCUGCACUUGAUUAGUUUGUUGGUAGGGUAAUGGCCUACCAAGACUGUGAUCAAUAGCUGAUUUGAGAGGAUGAUCAGCCACAUUGGGACUGAGACACGGCCCAAACUCCUACGGGAGGCAGCAGUGGGGAAUCUUGCACAAUGGAGGAAACUCUGAUGCAGCGAUGCCGCGUGAGUGAAGAAGGCCCUUGGGUUGUAAAGCUCUUUCGUCGGGGAAGAAAAUGACUGUACCCGAAUAAGAAGGUCCGGCUAACUUCGUGCCAGCAGCCGCGGUAAUACGAAGGGACCUAGCGUAGUUCGGAAUUACUGGGCUUAAAGAGUUCGUAGGUGGUUGAAAUAGUUGGUGGUGAAAUCCCAGAGCUUAACUCUGGAACUGCCAUCAAAACUUUUCAGCUAGAGUUUGAUAGAGGAAAGCAGAAUUUCUAGUGUAGAGGUGAAAUUCGUAGAUAUUAGAAAGAAUACCAAUUGCGAAGGCAGCUUUCUGGAUCAUUACUGACACUGAGGAACGAAAGCAUGGGUAGCGAAGAGGAUUAGAUACCCUCGUAGUCCAUGCCGUAAACGAUGUGUGUUAGACGUUGGAAAUUUAUUUUCAGUGUCGCAGCGAAAGCGAUAAACACACCGCCUGGGGAGUACGACCGCAAGGUUAAAACUCAAAUGAAUGACGGGACCCGCA